This 202-nucleotide ribosomal RNA is filed under the name Escherichia coli. RNAcentral describes it as "partial 16S ribosomal RNA". It matches the Rfam family "Bacterial small subunit ribosomal RNA", at positions 1331 to 1533 of the family's 1533-position model. RNAcentral also lists the same sequence under 4 other names. The record is from RNAcentral. Lineage: Bacteria; Pseudomonadati; Pseudomonadota; Gammaproteobacteria; Enterobacterales; Enterobacteriaceae.
UUCGCUAGUAAUCGCGCAUCAGCCAUGGCGCGGUGAAUACGUUCCCGGGCCUUGUACACACCGCCCGUCAAGCCAUGAAAGCCGGGGGUACCUGAAGUACGUAACCGCAAGGAGCGUCCUAGGGUAAAACUGGUAAUUGGGGCUAAGUCGUAACAAGGUAGCCGUACCGGAAGGUGCGGCUGGAACACCUCCUUUCUGGAGC